RNAcentral lists this ribosomal RNA (443 nucleotides) under uncultured bacterium. RNAcentral's name for it is "SSU rRNA". It matches the Rfam family "Bacterial small subunit ribosomal RNA", at positions 26 to 518 of the family's 1533-position model. The record is from RNAcentral.
AGAACGAACGCUGGCGGCAGGCUUAACACAUGCAAGUCGAACGCUCCGCAAGGGGAGUGGCAGACGGGUGAGUAACGCGUGGGAAUCUACCCAAUACUACGGAAUAGCUCCGGGAAACUGGAAUUAAUACCGUAUGUGCCCUACGGGGGAAAGAUUUAUCGGUAUUGGAUGAGCCCGCGUUGGAUUAGCUAGUUGGUGAGGUAACGGCCCACCAAGGCGACGAUCCAUAGCUGGUCUGAGAGGAUGAUCAGCCACACUGGGACUGAGACACGGCCCAGACUCCUACGGGAGGCAGCAGUGGGGAAUAUUGGACAAUGGGCGCAAGCCUGAUCCAGCCAUGCCGCGUGAGUGAUGAAGGCCUUAGGGUUGUAAAGCUCUUUUAACGGGGAAGAUAAUGACGGUACCCGUAGAAUAAGCCCGGCUAACUUCGUGCCAGCAGCCGC